RNAcentral lists this ribosomal RNA (464 nucleotides) under uncultured bacterium. RNAcentral's name for it is "bacterial SSU rRNA". It matches the Rfam family "Bacterial small subunit ribosomal RNA", at positions 338 to 795 of the family's 1533-position model. The record is from RNAcentral.
CCUACGGGUGGCAGCAGUCGAGAAUCUUUCACAAUGGGGGAAACCCUGAUGGAGCGACGCCGCGUGGAGGAUAAGGUCUUCGGAUUGUAAACUCCUGUCAUGCGAGAACAAGGUUGCAGGGCUAACACCACUGCAAAUUGAUGGUACCGCAAGAGGAAGAGACGGCUAACUCUGUGCCAGCAGCCGCGGUAAUACAGAGGUCUCAAGCGUUGUUCGGAAUCACUGGGCGUAAAGGGUGCGUAGGUGGCGUGGUAAGUCAGAUGUGAAAGCCCGGGGCUCAACCUCGGAAUUGCAUCCGAUACUGCCAUGCUAGAGUACUGAAGAGGUGACUAGAAUUCUAGGUGUAGCAGUGAAAUGCGUAGAUAUCUAGAGGAAUACCAACGGCGAAGGCAGGUCACUGGGCAGUUACUGACACUGAGGCACGAAGGCCAGGGGAGCAAACGGGAUUAGAUACCCUUGUAGUC